Molecule: ribosomal RNA, 207 nt
Filed under: uncultured bacterium
Lineage: Bacteria
Description: partial 16S ribosomal RNA
Rfam family: Bacterial small subunit ribosomal RNA
Source: RNAcentral
UGCGUAGGUGGUUGCGUUAGUAAGGUGUGAAAGCCCUCGGCUUACCCGGGGAAUUGCGCCUUAUACUGCGUGACUUGAGGACCAUAGGGGAAGGGGGAACUCCAGGUGUAGCGGUGAAAUGCGCAGAUAUCUGGGGGAAGGCCGGCGGCGAAGGCGCCCUUCUGGAUGGUUCCUGACACUGAGGCACGAAAGCGUGGGGAGCAAACA